CAGGAUGUGGCUCAGUUGGUAGAGUACUUGCCUGGAAUGCACAAAUCUCUGGGUUCCACCCCAGCACCCUAU
RNAcentral lists this transfer RNA (72 nucleotides) under Neotoma lepida (desert woodrat). It matches the Rfam family "tRNA". Rfam says of the family: Transfer RNA (tRNA) molecules are approximately 80 nucleotides in length. Their secondary structure includes four short double-helical elements and three loops (D, anti-codon, and T loops). The record is from Rfam by way of RNAcentral. Lineage: Eukaryota; Metazoa; Chordata; Mammalia; Rodentia; Cricetidae.